CAGUCGAGCGGUAACAGAUCUAGCUUGCUAGAUGCUGACGAGCGGCGGACGGGUGAGUAAUGCAUAGGAAUCUGCCCGAUAGUGGGGGAUAACCUGGGGAAACCCAGGCUAAUACCGCAUACGUCCUACGGGAGAAAGGGGGCUUCGGCUCCCGCUAUUGGAUGAGCCUAUGUCGGAUUAGCUAGUUGGUAAGGUAAUGGCUUACCAAGGCAACGAUCCGUAGCUGGUCUGAGAGGAUGAUCAGCCACAUCGGGACUGAGACACGGCCCGAACUCCUACGGGAGGCAGCAGUGGGGAAUAUUGGACAAUGGGGGCAACCCUGAUCCAGCCAUGCCGCGUGUGUGAAGAAGGCCCUCGGGUUGUAAAGCACUUUCAGCGAGGAAGAACGCCUGGCGGUUAAUACCCGCCAGGAAAGACAUCACUCGCAGAAGAAGCACCGGCUAACUCCGUGCCAGCAGCCGCGGUAAUACGGAGGGUGCAAGCGUUAAUCGGAAUUACUGGGCGUAAAGCGCGCGUAGGUGGCUUGAUAAGCCGGUUGUGAAAGCCCCGGGCUCAACCUGGGAACGGCAUCCGGAACUGUCAGGCUAGAGUGCAGGAGAGGAAGGUAGAAUUCCCGGUGUAGCGGUGAAAUGCGUAGAGAUCGGGAGGAAUACCAGUGGCGAAGGCGGCCUUCUGGACUGACACUGACACUGAGGUGCGAAAGCGUGGGUAGCAAACAGGAUUAGAUACCCUGGUAGUCCACGCCGUAAACGAUGUCGACCAGCCGUUGGGUGCCUAGAGCACUUUGUGGCGAAGUUAACGCGAUAAGUCGACCGCCUGGGGGAGUACGGCCGCAAGGUUAAAACUCAAUGAAUUGACGGGGGCCCGCACAAGCGGUGGGAGCAU
This 885-nucleotide ribosomal RNA is filed under the name uncultured bacterium. RNAcentral's name for it is "bacterial SSU rRNA". It matches the Rfam family "Bacterial small subunit ribosomal RNA", at positions 59 to 940 of the family's 1533-position model. The record is from RNAcentral.